RNAcentral lists this ribosomal RNA (300 nucleotides) under uncultured Streptomyces sp. RNAcentral's name for it is "partial 16S ribosomal RNA". The stretch from base 53 to 300 matches the Rfam family "Bacterial small subunit ribosomal RNA", at positions 548 to 795 of the family's 1533-position model. The record is from RNAcentral. Lineage: Bacteria; Bacillati; Actinomycetota; Actinomycetes; Kitasatosporales; Streptomycetaceae.
GCUAAGGUGGGGGGAGCUGCGGAGGGAAGAGGAGGGGGGGGCGGGUUGAGGCGAAUGACGUGGAGUAAAGGGGGCGUGGGCGGGGGUCGAAGUGAGGCGGGAAAUUGGUGGGGUGAACCGGAGGGGUGCGCUGGGUACUGAGGUGCGUGAGGAUGGAAGAGGCGCGUGGAAUUCGCAGGGUAGAGGUGAAAUUCGUAGAGAUGGGGAAGAAGACCGGUGGCGAAGGCGGCGAGCUGGUCCAUUACUGACGCUGAGGCGCGACAGCGUGGGGAGCAAACAGGAUUAGAUACCCUAGUAGUC